Molecule: ribosomal RNA, 428 nt
Filed under: uncultured bacterium
Lineage: Bacteria
Description: partial 16S ribosomal RNA
Rfam family: Bacterial small subunit ribosomal RNA
Source: RNAcentral
GUAGGGAAUAUUGUGCAAUGGACGAAAGUCUGACGCAGCGACGCCGCGUGAGUGAUGAAGGCCUUAGGGUCGUAAAGCUCUGUUGAAUGGGAAGAAAAAAAUGACGGUACCAUUCGAGGAAGGACCGGCUAACUUCGUGCCAGCAGCCGCGGUAAUACGAGGGGUCCUAGCGUUGUUCGGAAUCAUUGGGCGUAAAGGGUGUGUAGGUGGCCAUGUAAGUCAGGUGUGAAAGCCCCGGGCUCAACCCGGGAAGUGCACUUGAUACUGCGUGGCUUGAGUACCGAAGAGGGUAGUGGAAUUCCAGGUGUAGUGGUGAAAUACGUAGAUAUCUGGAGGAACACCGGUGGCGAAGGCGGCUACCUGGUCGAGUACUGACACUGAGACACGAAAGCAUGGGGAUCAAACAGGAUUAGAUACCCGGGUAGUCC